Molecule: ribosomal RNA, 253 nt
Filed under: uncultured bacterium
Lineage: Bacteria
Description: partial 16S ribosomal RNA
Rfam family: Bacterial small subunit ribosomal RNA
Source: RNAcentral
UACGUAGGCAGCAAGCGUUGUUCGGAAUUACUGGGCGUAAAGCGUGCGUAGGCGGUGCCAUAAGUUCGGUGUGAAAUCUCCCGGCUCAACUGGGAGGGUGCGCCGAAAACUGUGGUGCUAGAGUACAGGAGAGGUAAGCGGAAUUCCUGGUGUAGCGGUGAAAUGCGUAGAUAUCAGGAGGAACACCUGCGGUGUAGACGGCUUACUGGACUGUGACUGACGCUGAGGCACGAAAGUGUGGGGAGCAAACAGG